Molecule: long non-coding RNA, 492 nt
Organism: Lathyrus oleraceus (garden pea)
Lineage: Eukaryota; Viridiplantae; Streptophyta; Magnoliopsida; Fabales; Fabaceae
Exons: 2
Source: RefSeq, a predicted model, not a curated record
UCAACUUGGGACCAAAAUCUUUAGGCCCAUGCGCAUGAAACCAAGAGAGUGAGAGAAGUCAGGCUGAAUUCAUUCCAAUGUUUUCAUAUCAUGUGUCUCACUCCUCAGCUUUGGUUUAGGGAAAAUCCGUCGUGGAAGAAUUUGCCACCGGCAGCGCGAAGAUCGAAACAUAAUCAAAGGUGGAAGGGUAAGGUUGAGCAAGGAUUGAAGACUUGGAGUUUUGGCAACAAAAUCAAGAGUUAUGAAGAACAAAACCAUGGAUAGCAUGGAAGUGAAGAAAGUUUUGUAACUAGGAUUAGGAUUAGUAGAGUUAACUUUGGUAAAAUGGUUGAUCAAAAAGUCAACAGUUGACCAAAGUCAAUUGUAGGUCCAAGUUGUGAUAUUUUUUGUGUAGGUAUUGAUUUGUGCAAUGUAAUUUGAUAUGAACCAUUGUAUGAAAAUGAACUUAUAACUUGAUCUUUAAAUAAAUUUUCCUCUAAUUUAUGACCUUAA